This 240-nucleotide unclassified non-coding RNA is filed under the name soil metagenome. Its description in RNAcentral is "partial contains 5.8S ribosomal RNA, internal transcribed spacer 2, and large subunit ribosomal RNA". The record is from RNAcentral.
AACCUAGCACACCUGCGGUGUGUACCUGCGGAAGGAUCAUUACAGAGUUCGUGCCCUCGCGGGUAGAUCUCCCACCCUUGUGUAUUCCUUACAUUUUGUUGCUUUGGCAGGCCGUUGGUUCGCCAACCACCGGCUCUACGGGCUGGUGCGUGCCUGCCAGAGGACCCCCCAAACUCGGUUUGUUAGUGUCGUCUGAGUAAUCAUAACAAUCGUUAAAACUUUUAACAACGGAUCUCAGAU